Gasterosteus aculeatus aculeatus (three-spined stickleback) is the source of this 710-nucleotide long non-coding RNA. NCBI's taxonomy places the organism in Eukaryota, Metazoa, Chordata, Actinopteri, Perciformes, Gasterosteidae. The record is from Ensembl.
CGCUGCUCUCACUGGAGUGCUCUGGCCCUUUUUUUUCCUCCACGCUUUUCCCCCCCGAUAAUAAAUAACCCCCACGGGUCUUUACAUCUGCUUAUCACUCCUGCCACGGUAAUCUAACACAGACGUUUGUUGGGCCUGACAUUUAUACAGAAGACACGGAGAACAUUCCCUUUUCUCAUCCUGGAUCUGCUCCAGUCUGCUGUGCAAAGGCCCCGUGGCAACGUACGUCAUUAAAGCAGAGUAAAGUGUGCACGGCGCUUUGGUAUUUGAGAAAACGUUCAUCAACUGAUUGCAAUCAUCUAAACGCGCGAAAGAGAGAAAGAGACCAGCUCUUUUCUCCUCACCUGCGUGCUUCUCAUCUUUAGCUUCAACAGCAGUCGCCCGCUGAGUGUCUGAUGUACUUCUUUGACCCCUGUAAGCGUUCUGAACCCCCCCUCUGAUCGUCACAUUGCACACAGCUCAAAGGGUUGCACGUGGAGAUAACGACACAUGGAGGGCCGGAAAAAAACAGAAAACAUGCAGGACUCGUUUCUUGGGAUUAGAUAACUCUCCCCCAUAGGAGUUUCAGCACAUGGUAAGCUCAAAGAGCCGAGUCGAAGAGAAUUCUGCAGCUGGAAAUGUAAAAUAUGCUCCGCCUGAGGAAUUCCAUGUCAGCAGAGAACCUCAGCUCAAGUGAAAAACUUUGAGAGUGGUAUUUACACUCAACACGU